Transfer RNA from Camelus ferus (Wild Bactrian camel), 72 nucleotides. It matches the Rfam family "tRNA". From Rfam's summary of the family: Transfer RNA (tRNA) molecules are approximately 80 nucleotides in length. Lineage: Eukaryota; Metazoa; Chordata; Mammalia; Artiodactyla; Camelidae. The record is from Rfam.
GAGGGUAUAGCUCAGUGGUAGAGCGUGUGCUUAGCAUGCACGAGGUCCUGGGUUCAAGCCCCAGAACCUCCA